GAUCCUGGCUCAGGAUGAACGCUGGCGGCGUGCUUAACACAUGCAAGUCGAGCGAAGCAAUCUAAGUGAAGUUUUUGGAUGGAUCUUGGAUUGACUGAGCGGCGGACGGGUGAGUAACGCGUGGAUAACCUGCCUCACACAGGGGGAUAACAGUUAGAAAUGACUGCUAAUACCGCAUAAGCGCACGGCAUUGCAUGAUGCAGUGUGAAAAACUCCGGUGGUGUG
This 225-nucleotide ribosomal RNA is filed under the name uncultured bacterium. RNAcentral describes it as "partial 16S ribosomal RNA". It matches the Rfam family "Bacterial small subunit ribosomal RNA", at positions 15 to 222 of the family's 1533-position model. The record is from RNAcentral.